UACGGUAGGGGGCAAGCGUUUGUCCGGAAAUCAUUGGGCGUAAAGAGCGUGUAGGCGGCCCUGGUGAGUCCGCUGUAGAAACGUCCAGGGCUCAACCCGUGGAAUGCCGGUGGAAACUGUCAGGCGUCGAGUCCGGAAGAGGCGAGUGGAAUUCCUGGUGUAGCGGUGAAAUGCGCAGAUAUCAGGAGGAACACCAAUGGCGAAGGCAGCUCGCUGGGACGGUACUGACGCUGGAGAACGCGGAAAAGCGUGGGGGAGCAAACAGG
This 266-nucleotide ribosomal RNA is filed under the name uncultured bacterium. RNAcentral describes it as "partial 16S ribosomal RNA". It matches the Rfam family "Bacterial small subunit ribosomal RNA", at positions 524 to 776 of the family's 1533-position model. The record is from RNAcentral.